This 794-nucleotide ribosomal RNA is filed under the name uncultured Pelagibacteraceae bacterium. Its description in RNAcentral is "bacterial SSU rRNA". It matches the Rfam family "Bacterial small subunit ribosomal RNA", at positions 45 to 887 of the family's 1533-position model. Lineage: Bacteria; Pseudomonadati; Pseudomonadota; Alphaproteobacteria; Candidatus Pelagibacterales; Candidatus Pelagibacteraceae. The record is from RNAcentral.
CGCCUAACACAUGCAAGUCGAACGGAGUAGCAAUACUUAGUGGCAGACGGGUGAGUAACAUGUGGGUAUCUACCCUUUGGCCUGGAAUAACACGAGGAAACUUGUGCUAAUACCGGAUAAGUCUUUACGGAGAAAGCUUUAUGCACCAUUGGAUGAGCCUGCACUUGAUUAGUUUGUUGGUGGGGUAAUGGCCUACCAAGACUUUGAUCAAUAGCUGAUUUGAGAGGAUGAUCAGCCACAUUGGGACUGAGACACGGCCCAAACUCCUACGGGAGGCAGCAGUGGGGAAUCUUGCACAAUGGAGGAAACUCUGAUGCAGCGAUGCCGCGUGAGUGAAGAAGGCCUUUGGGUUGUAAAGCUCUUUCGUCGGGGAAGAAAAUGACUGUACCCGAAUAAGAAGGUCCGGCUAACUUCGUGCCAGCAGCCGCGGUAAUACGAAGGGACCUAGCGUAGUUCGGAAUUACUGGGCUUAAAGAGUUCGUAGGUGGUUGAAAAAGUUGGUGGUGAAAUCCCAGAGCUUAACUCUGGAACUGCCAUCAAAACUUUUCAGCUAGAGUUUGAUAGAGGAAAGCAGAAUUUCUAGUGUAGAGGUGAAAUUCGUAGAUAUUAGAAAGAAUACCAAUUGCGAAGGCAGCUUUCUGGAUCAUUACUGACACUGAGGAACGAAAGCAUGGGUAGCGAAGAGGAUUAGAUACCCUCGUAGUCCAUGCCGUAAACGAUGUGUGUUAGACGUUGGAAAUUUAUUUUCAGUGUCGCAGCGAAAGCAAUAAACACACCGCCUGGGGAGUACGACC